GAGUUUGAUCAUGGCUCAGGAUGAACGCUGGCGGCGUGCCUAACACAUGCAAGUCGAACGGGAACCCUUGGAUUCGUCUGGGGGGGAGAGUGGCGAACGGGUGAGUAACACGUAGGUGACCUGCCCCAAAGAGGGGAAUAACCACGGGAAACGGUGGCUAAUACCCCAUGUGGUCUAUCGGUCGGACGGUAGAUUAAAGUGCCCCUUAGGGGGUUGCGCUUUGGGAGGGGCUUGCGGCCCAUCAGGUAGUUGGUAGGGUAAUGGCCUACCAAGCCGAUGACGGGUAGGGGGCGUGAGAGCGUGAUCCCCCACACUGGCACUGAGAUACGGGCCAGACUCCUACGGGAGGCAGCAGUGAGGAAUAUUGCCCAAUGGACGAAAGUCUGAGGCAGCAACGCCGCGUGGGCGACGAAGGCCUUCGGGUUGUAAAGCCCUUUUCUGGGGGACGAGGAAGGACGGUACCUCAGGAAUAAGUCACGGCUAACUACGUGCCAGCAGCCGCGGUAAUACG
Molecule: ribosomal RNA, 511 nt
Filed under: uncultured Chloroflexota bacterium
Lineage: Bacteria; Bacillati; Chloroflexota
Description: bacterial SSU rRNA
Rfam family: Bacterial small subunit ribosomal RNA
Source: RNAcentral